Molecule: long non-coding RNA, 415 nt
Filed under: Homo sapiens (human)
Lineage: Eukaryota; Metazoa; Chordata; Mammalia; Primates; Hominidae
Description: non-protein coding LINC02212:15
Source: RNAcentral
AGAGAUGUGAAAACUGGAAGAGAAACAGGAAGUACCUCCAGGAUUCACCUAAAUAGAUGCUGCGGUUUCUAUCAAACCACAGGCCACCCCAGCAUCUCAGUGGCUUCUAUAGGUUGUCCUGAAAGAGCCAUGAGGCCAGGGCCCUUGAUGGAUUCCCAGAUACCAGCUGCUCCUCCAGACACCAAUUCCACCCUCCACCUUUCUGUGUCCGUCCCAGACCAAGGCAGCCCAGGACUGGUAUCCUUCUAAGAAGAGGAAGGCACAUCAGAGGAGAGGCCAUGUGAGGACACCAUGGGAAGGCGGCCACCUGCAAGCCAAGGAGAGGGGCCUCAGGAGAAACCAGCCCUGCUGACACCCUGAGCUCCUUGCAAUUCCAGCCUCCUAGACUGUGAGAAAAUACACUUGUGUUAUUUAA